Molecule: ribosomal RNA, 301 nt
Filed under: uncultured bacterium
Lineage: Bacteria
Description: partial 16S ribosomal RNA
Rfam family: Bacterial small subunit ribosomal RNA
Source: RNAcentral
CAGCCGCCGCGGUAAUACGGAGGGUGCAAGCGUUAAUCGGAAUUACUGGGCGUAAAGCGCACGCAGGCGGUCUGUCAAGUCGGAUGUGAAAUCCCCGGGCUCAACCUGGGAACUGCAUUCGAAACUGGCAGGCUAGAGUCUUGUAGAGGGGGGUAGAAUUCCAGGUGUAGCGGUGAAAUGCGUAGAGAUCUGGAGGAAUACCGGUGGCGAAGGCGGCCCCCUGGACAAAGACUGACGCUCAGGUGCGAAAGCGUGGGGAGCAAACAGGAUUAGAUACCCGAGUAGUCCCUGUCUCUUAUAC